CAUUGUGCAAUCACAGCACCGUUCAGACAACUCGAGCUGCGAUUAUUUUUUUAAUCAUUUUUAUUCUAGCAGGGAUAUCAGCACGAAAACACGCAGAUCAAUGGGUCCUCCAGGCCUGGGUGGCUAGCUGCUCCCCCUCCCACCACAAAGCAAACGGAUGGAAAGGAAGGUGGAAAACAAAAAGGAAAAAGGUUCAGCACCUGCCCAAGGCCCAGGGAGAUGCUUUGGGUCAGCUGCCUUCAGUUGGUCUUCAUCACCAUCAUUAAUACACGUUUCCUCACUGGAAUGAACGUUUGGAUGAUGCUAAAUCCUCCGGCACAUCCCCUAAUGCCAAGACAAGUGUCUUCUUGAAGUUCCAAAUGUUACAAGUGAAUGCAAAGUCAGUCAGAGCAAGUAUCUUCCUCCUAUGUUGAGUUUUCCAUCUCUCCCCCUGUCCCAGCAGCUGCAAGUUCUGACACAGCUGAUCAUGUACAUACUGUCACCUCCCACCUCAUCCUCCCAAUCCAAAACCAGGAAGAACUAUGUCAGCAACAUGCCAGCUAUGGAAGGUACAACUUUGGUUCUGAAGUAUGUCAGAGGUAAAUCAGUCUGCAACUUGGAUGAAGUGCUAUCUGGUGUAGUGUUACUACCUACCAGCACACUGAGGAAGUUUCAGAGCUCCCACAGACUCUAAAAUGGGACUCAAGUCAUCCCAAACAGUGUGUAAUGCAAGUGCAACCAUCCAAAUGCCCAAGGAACACAAGAUUCUCUCCCACAGAUUUCUAAUGGAGAAGUUUGGAAUUGGCACAGGUCAGGAACAGCAGCCUGAGUUCUGUCACAUCCCUGUACCCUUUGCUAACUGGGAAAGUGACAUGUAAAAGCUUCCACUUGCAACUCGUAAAACAAGCAAUUUUCAGAUACUCAAAACUGAGACUUUCUAGUGCGUACAACAGAUUCAGCCAGUCUAUGCUGAAUUAAAAAUCCUUCUGUACACUGAAGUAUUAGUCUCCAAAUUGAUCCCUGUUUACUCCACUUGCACAGUACGUUAAACACGCUGCCAUUACAUUAAUUUUCCGUAAUCACUUAUAACAUUUGAAAAUUCAACACCUGCAACUUUUUGAACAAAGUAGGUCUUUCAGUACCCACCCAAUUGCAGGAUACACACAUUCACUGAGUAAUGAAAGCCAUAAGUGUCAAAAUUUAAACCACACACAUUCAAAAUAUUGAUCAACCACCUUAGUGUAUAUACAAGCAGGAUGACUACAUGUUCAAUAAACACUACAGUCAAGUACAUUCUUCAUGAACACUGCAC
Columba livia (rock pigeon) is the source of this 1291-nucleotide long non-coding RNA. RefSeq lists it as uncharacterized. NCBI's taxonomy places the organism in Eukaryota, Metazoa, Chordata, Aves, Columbiformes, Columbidae. The transcript is spliced from 4 exons. The record is from RefSeq and is a predicted model, not a curated record.